Erpetoichthys calabaricus (reedfish) is the source of this 220-nucleotide long non-coding RNA. RefSeq lists it as uncharacterized. The record is from RefSeq and is a predicted model, not a curated record. The transcript is spliced from 2 exons. NCBI's taxonomy places the organism in Eukaryota, Metazoa, Chordata, Cladistia, Polypteriformes, Polypteridae.
UUCAUUUGUCAUUUUGUUCCAUGUCACUGUGUCACUUUAUUCACAGGUCCAGUUGCAUGUGUGAUGUGUUUUUCAGUUAGUCAGAUGACUGGCACUGCAUGGAGUCAACAAGAGAGGCAGGUGUCUGGUGGAGUGGAGCCACUGAGGUUCACUCUUAUGGAGUCAUUUAAAUGUUCGUCUGUCAGUCUUGUUCUGAACUUUGAUUUCAUGACAUUCAUGU